CUCCUCCCAAGUCGGCAGUCGGCGACUCGGCGAUCUGAAUCAGCGGCACUCAAACCUCAAAGCCCGCAACGGCGUAAUGGGGAAGCCCGAGCGGCUGCGCCCGACCGGGACCGGUGCCUAUUUUAAUCCUGCCAAAUUUAUGCUUUGUCCUCCUCCUGCUGCCUAUAAACGCCCACGCCCCUUCCCCUUCCUCCGACCACCACCACCUUGCCGACCUCAGCUGAUCUAGGGUUUAGCGGAGUGACCUCGCGGAGGGCGCCCUCGCGCCGAAGCGAGGCGUGGAUCAAUCCAGAUAUGCAUUUGGGGGGCAGCAAGCUCGAGGCGGCAACUGCAUAACUUGCAAGAAUUUGUUGGUUGAGGGUCAUACCGAUGAUGCUCUUGCACGUUAUGCAGUUGCUGCCUCAAGCUUCCUGCCUCCCUUUGCCAGAACUAGUAAGAUAAAAAGCUUUCAAUUAACACAGACGAGUGAUUUUGCAGCCAUAUGUUCUGUACUUUAGGAUAUGGAAAUACAACAACAAACAAAAGAGCAAAACCUUUUGCUUCCAAGGAAGUUGAUUUUUUAGAUAUGAAACCCAACAAGAGCCACCGAUGAGGAUAUAUAAAUAAAAAGGAAAUAAAAAUGCAACAUGCAAUCAGAUGCUACAGCGACAUGUAGACACACUAGCAUUUUUGUGAAGGACAUCUAUGGUUUGAAAAUUAUUAAUGGUUCAAGAGCAAUUAAGUCUUUGGAUACUGUGUAACUGUUUAUGCAGUAAUGCAAUUCUUUGAGAUUGGUAGCUGUACUGCUUUUAUCAUCCUUGUUUACUUCACGAAAAUAUUUUGCUUUCAACAUAACUUGAUCAGAACAUUCAUUGCACCUUUAAACAUCAUUUACCAUUUCUAUUAACCUUGGUUCACUUUGAUAUUCUCCUGUCGUACAUAUGCAUCAGAAAAUGUUACCAUUUAACAUGACAACUUAACUGCGAUAUUUGUUCUGCACAGCUUGAGUAAGUGCUAUCGGCAUAGUUGAGAUAGUGUAAAAUGCAUUCAGGCUCAGGGAGCCAAGAUGCCACUGCAUGAUAGAUAUAUCGUGCUAAGCUACAAACGUUUUAACACCUCUUGGAAAUAAUUUUCUUGGUUCUUUUGUAAAUUCACACCAUUUUGUACUAUUUUGGAAGCAAAUGGAAAAAGGUUGUGUGGUUUGGUGCUUAUGGCUUUAUCACUUAUAAACCUGGCUGGUUUAGACCACCUUCAUCUGGUGAUCAAGAACCCACAGCCAAUAGUACUGGUCUCCCAACACAAGUUCUGGAGGAUGAAAGGUAACUGGCAGAUGAAAUGUUUCUCAGUUUUGUAAUUUGUAAUAUAUUGGGUAAACUGAGUUCAUGGAUAUAGUAGGUGAUGCUUCAUAGCAGCUACUUCAUUAUAUUGCAUUCGAGUCAUUUACAAUUAGCAUGAUGUUCAUGGUGCUUAUAUCAGGGUCAGGAUAUGUCAAAUUUCAGGUGCUUAUGGCUUGGUCUGUGCUAACACUAUGGCGAUCAAUAAGUUGCCUUACAGGCCUACAAAUGUACAAUUUAUACACGAUCUGCCUGUUAAACCACAUAUAUGGCAGCUAAACCACAAUAACUUGAUCACAACUGUUUUUCCUUUCUCUGAUUCAGCUAUCCAUGCUACAACAAAAAUAUAGUGACCUUGAAUAUCGAACUUGUUAACACAUAUAUGGUAGCUAAAUCUCCCAGCUUUUAAUUCUAAGUGCAGUUUUAUGGCUUACACAUGUAAGUGGCACAUUGUGUAAAAAACUGAGAAAUAAAUGAUAAUCUUUGCUGCUAUUAUCAGUCAAUUGAUAUAAAACUUUUGUUGGAUAGUUCUUCUGUUGGACCAUGUUACUAGGUUCUCUUUGGAGUUUUGUUACUUGACUUAGGAAUAAAAGGGCUUCUAGCGUUCCAAAUUGUAGGUCGUUUUGACUUUUCUAGGUUCAUAGAUGAUAAUAUUUAUGAAUCUAAAAAAGUUAAAACGACCUUACAUACAAUUUGGAACAAUUUGAAUUUGAAACGGAGGGAGUAAUAGUCAGCAAUGGAGGGAAAAGAUCUGAUUGUCAAGUUAUGUUUGGAACCAUAUUCUGCACCAAAAAUGUUUAUGGGUGCAUUUUUUUUUCAUCGUUGGUUGUAGACAAAUCAGCGUUGCCUCUGCUGUACUGUUUGACAAGUUAGAUUAUUUGUAGACAAAUCAAUGGAACUGUAACACUCAGUAUGCGCAAAGGUUAAAAUACGUGAAAAUAUGUAAAGAUGGUAGGCGGAAGUUGACUUUUAGAUUCGUCCCUCGUAUGGAUAAAUGGAGGUUAUAGUUGCGUAAAGCUCGUUAAAUUUAUUCCGUUUGAUCACUAGUGUAUCGUUGGGAGUUUGGGUCACGAACUCAUGGAUGCGGCAUUUUUAACCGCGCUCAGCUACAGUAGUCGCGGCUACGGUUGCUGAGUUGGUCUCGUUGUCAGAGUUCUUUUUUUCUUCUUUUCCCCUUUCCACCGUGACCCCAUUUCUUUUUCAUGGAUGCGGCAUUUUUAACCGCGCUCAGCUACAGUAGUCGUGGCUACAGUUGCUGAGUUGGUCUUGUUGUCAGAGUUCUUUUUUCUUCUUUUCCCCUUUCCACCGUGACCCCAUUUCUUUUCGAAACCCUCAAAGUCCCUAUCUCCUACCCCGUGCACGGCCACCUCCCUUUGCUGUGCUCCACAGGAGGGAGAGAGGGAGAGGAGAGAAGAGAAGAGGAGAGAAGAGAAGAAAAUUAGGGUACGCCAUCUGUCAUCACCGUUACUCCAAAAAUUGGUUGGGCUUCCUUUCCUCCUUCCGUUUUCCUCGAUUGAUUGCCUUUCCUCGCUGUUUAAGGUGGUGCCCCCAUGUGUGGUGCAAUUUAGAUGCAAUCGACGGGGCUGCCAUGACGUUCGUUGCUAGGGAGAGGAAAACGACCGAGUGUCAUUGUUGGGAUCGCUGCCGUCGCCAUUGCCCUUACUGUUUUCAAGGGAAACCCUAGGUGAGGCAUGCCCCCGCUGUAAUCCAUAUUUUCCCUAAGGUUUCAGAUGUUCUAGCACGUGGUGUAGCAGCACUCGACGCCGUUAAGGGGUAGGUAAAGUUUUGCCCUCAUCACUGUUUUUAGCGUGUAGUCAAUCUGCGCAGUUUUCAGUAAUGGCUAUUUUACGUCCUCUUAAUGGCUUCAAAAAAAUAUAAAACCUAUAUAUGAGUGGUAGAAGAUUUGCAGAGCUUUCCAUAGCCGUAAAGAACACUACAAUCGGAUUUAAUAGCUGAGAGAUAUUGGAGUUUGAUUCUAUCAGUUUUUCAGCCUCGUAAUUCUGGGAGAAUCUGUUCACCUAAAGUUUAGGCAACCCAAACGAUAGAAUUGGAUCUUUGAAUGAAUAAAGAAGUUGUAGGAAAUUUUAUAAGAUUUUCAGAUUGAUGAAGUGCAUCUUCAUAUGAAUUUUGGAGCUCUAAGUAUACCUGUUUUAUUAGGAUUGUUUUGCAAUUAUUGUCAGAUUUUUAGUUUGAGGUUCAUGUCAAGAUUAGCCUAUGUUCAGAAUUUUUCUUCUAUUUUUGGAUCACGAGGAAGUUGUAAGUUAUGAAGUUAUCCUUCAGAUGGCACAAGAUGAGAAUUUUUAGCUGUCAAGAUUAAAAGAUAAAAAAAGAGAAGCAACAGAGCUGCUAUCAUGUUUAGAUUUGUGUGUGUUUUUGUGAGAAUGUCGGGUUCGAGCCUAGAAACACUUUGAAUUAUGUUGUUUAUGCUUGUGUGUUUGUGUUGGUGCUGAGUUAUAUUUGUGAACAGGUGGUGCACCUUUGGAUCGUGCUUAGCUCACGGUCUUAGUCUUCGGUGAAGGUAAGUAAACGUAGCGAUGUGGUCUACAUGCUGUAACUUUGUUGUUUGAAUUGCCUCCAUUUAAUUUCAGUACCUCACACUAGCAAGAUAAAUCUGAAAUUUUUCUUUAUAUUGAAGUAUCUUGUUCCAGUUGAGGCUUUACUUUUGAAGUUAUGAAUUUGAAGUAUAUGAAGUUCAUGCAUUGCAAUCUUGCAUUCGCAUUCUCAUGUUGUUUACGCAUACGAAGAAACCGUAGCCGGAUUGGUGCGGGAAGUACCGGUACAGCAACGCACGUUGAGAUAUAAUAAUGUGGUUGCAGCUCUCACCUCCUUCCUUGCCUCCUUCCUUGGGAUAUAUGGGUAGAAGUGAAGUUAUGCAUUGCAUUGCACCAUUCGCAUUUCAUUAUGAAAUGUUAUUGUGAAGUAUUUAUUUAUCUUACUACCCGAAGUUAUGUGCUGCUUCUGACUCUUAAAUUGAUGCUUAAUAUAUUGUGAUUUAAAUAACUUGUUUGAAGCAGUUUGCUUGCUGAGGUUUUCCAUAAACCUCAUACGCUUUUUCCCCUCCGCAGGUUCUUGAGCUUGGAGGGUGCUUGGUUGGAUGGGGAGUAGCAGCACGUAUGCUCACACUUCUUCAUACAUAUAUUUUGGACACAUGUGUUGUAAUAAAAAUAUUUGGUUGUGCAGGCUUUUGCUUUGCUUUUAAUCUCAUAUUUGGCAGUUUGUAAGAUGUUCUAUCUAGAUGAUUUAAGUUGCUUCCACGUGCUCUGUUUAUUUAUCUUUGUUACUGUUUUUUUAUGUGUGUGCCUGUAGUAGUUGUAGUGUAGUGUGGUAACGUUCCAAAAUAAUGUUGCUGCUGUUCUGGAGUGUUACAGGAACUGAAGUAAUACCCAAGUUAGAUUAUUUCAAAAUUUAUCAAAGAGGACCUUCAUUA
This is a long non-coding RNA of Setaria italica (foxtail millet), 4740 nucleotides long. RefSeq lists it as uncharacterized. The transcript has 3 exons. Lineage: Eukaryota; Viridiplantae; Streptophyta; Magnoliopsida; Poales; Poaceae. The record is from RefSeq and is a predicted model, not a curated record.